AAGCGAUUCACCGGUGUGGAAGGGCGCAGGAGGUAUAUGAUGAUGCACAGACAAAUACACACAGUUUGGCC
RNAcentral lists this ribosomal RNA (71 nucleotides) under Scolecobasidium constrictum. Its description in RNAcentral is "Ochroconis constricta partial 26S ribosomal RNA". The record is from RNAcentral. Lineage: Eukaryota; Fungi; Ascomycota; Dothideomycetes; Venturiales; Sympoventuriaceae.